CCUACGGGAGGCAGCAGUAGGGAAUCUUCCGCAAUGGACGAAAGUCUGACGGAGCAACGCCGCGUGAGUGAUGAAGGUUUUCGGAUCGUAAAACUCUGUUGUUAGGGAAGAACAAGUGCGAGAGUAACUGCUCGCACCUUGACGGUACCUAACCAGAAAGCCACGGCUAACUACGUGCCAGCAGCCGCGGUAAUACGUAGGUGGCAAGCGUUGUCCGGAAUUAUUGGGCGUAAAGCGCGCGCAGGCGGUUUCUUAAGUCUGAUGUGAAAGCCCCCGGCUCACCGGGGGAGGGUCAUUGGAAACUGGGAAACUUGAGUGCAGAAGAGGAGAGUGGAAUUCCACGUGUAGCGGUGAAAUGCGUAGAGAUGUGGAGGAACACCAGUGGCGAAGGCGACUCUCUGGUCUGUAACUGACGCUGAGGCGCGAAAGCGUGGGGAGCGAACAGGAUUAGAUACCUGGUAGUCCACGCCGUAAACGAUGAGUGCUAAGUGUUAGAGGGUUUCCGCCCUUUAGUGCUGCAGCUAACGCAUUAAGCACUCCGCCUGGGGAGUACGGUCGCAAGACUGAAACUCAAAGGAAUUGACGGGGGCCCGCACAAGCGGUGGAGCAUGUGGUUUAAUUCGAAGCAACGCGAAGAACCUUAC
This 644-nucleotide ribosomal RNA is filed under the name bacterium HZ35-11. RNAcentral's name for it is "bacterial SSU rRNA". It matches the Rfam family "Bacterial small subunit ribosomal RNA", at positions 338 to 974 of the family's 1533-position model. The record is from RNAcentral.